Molecule: transfer RNA, 75 nt
Filed under: bacterium
Lineage: Bacteria
Description: tRNA-Gln
Rfam family: tRNA
About the family: Transfer RNA (tRNA) molecules are approximately 80 nucleotides in length. Their secondary structure includes four short double-helical elements and three loops (D, anti-codon, and T loops).
Source: RNAcentral
UGGGGCAUCGUCAAGCGGUAAGACACCAGAUUUUGGUUCUGGCAUCCGGGGGUUCGAAUCCUCCUGCCCCAGCCA